GUCACUUUGCCGGAGUGGUUAACGGGAUCGCCUGCUAAAACGGAGUGUUCCGUCACCCGUGUCAGAGUAGCGGUUGGGCUUUGCCCGCGUGUGUUCGAAUCGCACAGGUGACG
Molecule: transfer RNA, 113 nt
Filed under: Lentinula raphanica
Lineage: Eukaryota; Fungi; Basidiomycota; Agaricomycetes; Agaricales; Omphalotaceae
Description: tRNA-Ser
Rfam family: tRNA
About the family: Transfer RNA (tRNA) molecules are approximately 80 nucleotides in length. Their secondary structure includes four short double-helical elements and three loops (D, anti-codon, and T loops).
Source: RNAcentral